GUGGGGAAUAUUGGACAAUGGGCGAAAGCCUGAUCCAGCCAUGCCGCGUGUGUGAAGAAGGUCUUCGGAUUGUAAAGCACUUUAAGUUGGGAGGAAGGGCAGUAAGUUAAUACCUUGCUGUUUUGACGUUACCGACAGAAUAAGCACCGGCUAACUUCGUGCCAGCAGCCGCGGUAAUACGAAGGGUGCAAGCGUUAAUCGGAAUUACUGGGCGUAAAGCGCGCGUAGGUGGUUUUGUAAGUUGAAGGUGAAAUCCCCGGGCUCAACCUGGGAACUGCCUCCAAAACUGCAUGACUAGAGUACGGUAGAGGGUAGUGGAAUUUCCUGUGUAGCGGUGAAAUGCGUAGAUAUAGGAAGGAACACCAGUGGCGAAGGCGACUACCUGGACUGAUACUGACACUGAGGUGCGAAAGCGUGGGGAGCAAACAGGAUUAGAUACCCCGGUAGUCC
RNAcentral lists this ribosomal RNA (450 nucleotides) under uncultured bacterium. Its description in RNAcentral is "bacterial SSU rRNA". It matches the Rfam family "Bacterial small subunit ribosomal RNA", at positions 354 to 796 of the family's 1533-position model. The record is from RNAcentral.